RNAcentral lists this long non-coding RNA (1987 nucleotides) under Homo sapiens (human). Its description in RNAcentral is "HSALNT0380489". Lineage: Eukaryota; Metazoa; Chordata; Mammalia; Primates; Hominidae. The record is from RNAcentral.
GAAAAGAAAACAAAAAAUGCAGAAGUAUGGAUCAAAUUUGGUGAAUGUCUAUUUUAAAAGCAAUACUUGGUGUGUCCCCUAGAUAUUUGCAUACGCAUAUUUUGGAAACAAAACUAGAUGAAAGGAAUGUCGUGUCAGAAAGAUAGACCACAAGAGUAAAGCUGGUGGUGGUUCGGCUUUUAAUAAAGUCCUCUGCAAUGCCCUGAGGCACACCAGUGUCAUCAACAAUCACAUAAACAGGGAAAUACGACAUUUUAAAACAUGAAGGGUGCUGGAAACCCAUCUCCUCACUUUGAACAGCCUUUGUUUAAAACAAAUGAUUUUAUCUCAUUUAUUUUUGUAUCUAACUCCCUUUUUAUAAACUGCUCUCUAGAGUAGCGUCUGACUAUUAACAACAAUCCCCUGUGUAAAUAAACGAGACAUUCUGACUUCUGCAACCAUUUUGUCUGUGGCGUUAAGUCAGUGCCCCCAGUCAAGACAAUUGGAAAACCAUUUGGUCUAUAACAUUUUUAAUAGAGUGAACCUUUUAAAAACUGCCAAAAAACUUCUUGGCAGAAAGGAAAGUUAUGUUGGGUCGGGGGGCAGGGCUCUGUUACCACAGUUUGUGUAAGUGUUUCCACACAUUGCUGUAUUUCAAACACAUAGUGGGCUUCAAUGAGCUCUAGAAUAUCAGACACAUGCUCAACAGAUUUCCCUUCUAUUGAGAUUAUAAAAGACAGAACACUUAACCUGAAGGCAGAAAGGGAGAAGGGGAUUUGGUGGCGGUGGGGGGGGGCUUUACUUGUGUUGUUUUAUUUAUUUGAUUUUUUUUAUCUGGAGGAAAAUGAUGUAUAAAAGAGGUGAUUCGUUUUGUUCUAAAUAAAAUACUCUGACAUUAAGAAAAAAAAAAAACAAAGACAACCACAGAGUUCUGGUAAGGAACAAGUUUAUACAACAUGUAUCCUCUGAGCUGUCCACUUAUAAAGACUUAUUUUUAGUGAUAGAUUUGGAAUUGAAAAUGACAAAUGCCAAGAAUGAGCUUCAUCAUUUUUCACGUUCAUUAAAAUCUACCCCACCUGCAAUUUACAAUGCAUAUCUCUUGCCCAACCUCAACUAUGCAAGGAGGCGGUGCCAGAGUGAAGGAGCCUCUACUACCAAAAACACCAGUACUGGCUACAGCCUCUAUCUCCUGCUCACUUGGGGAAUAAAUCAAUUUAAUAUCGGAAGGGAGAAAAGGCAGACUUGCAGAUCAUUUCCUUGAGGAAUGAGGAUAUUGCUGUGAGGCUCAUUCUCUACAGUCUGUGGUUGCCUUUCUGUGAACGUAAAAACUCCUGAGGCAGAGAAUAUCCGAAGAGCUGGUGUUAGAGCUGGGAAGGCCGGGAAGGGGUGAGGACAUGUCUUCUUCAUGUGUACCAUUGUUUUCAGCUGCCUGAGCUGGAUGGAGUGUGGAAGAACCUGAGAGCUACUACCAUGGGGUGGGACUGUCAGCCAGCUCUGGCAGAGUUCCACUGUGCCAUCAGCCAGAUUCUAGUCUUUAGCUCUAAUGUGGACAAAGAAUAGGAAACACUGAGAGAAACUCAAGUCAGUGUUUCGAGAAGGAAGCACAGAGAAUGAAGGACCGUGGUUGGCCUCAUACUGGGGCACUGGAAGUGAGUGGAAUUUGAUGAGAGAAAUCUGUGAAGAUUUUCAAGAAGAGAUGAAGAGAGCUGAAAAGAGAUGUUUUCAUCCCUCCCACCUCAUCAUGCCACCAACUGGGCUCCUUGCCUUCACUCACACCUUGACUCAGUCUCCCUCCUUUCUUUCUCUCAUUCCUAGCCUACUGGUGAAGCUGAAGACUUUCCCACCUGAAACUUCAGUGCUGCCCUCCUUAGUGCCUUUGACUUCCUCUGUGGCUACUACCCCAAUCAGCCACACCAGUCCUCAGUUCUGGAUCUUCCUCUACCCUUGUCUUCCAUCUUCCCUAAUAAUUGCCCCUGGCCCUCAGAAUACAGACGAAACAUGAAGUGGA